UAGGGAAUCUUCCACAAUGGGCGAAAGCCUGAUGGAGCAACGCCGCGUGAGUGAGGAAGGCUUUCGGGUCGUAAAGCUCUGUUGCCAGGGAAGAAUAAGGAUCAUUUAACUGAUGAUCCGAUGACGGUACCUGAGAAGAAAGCCCCGGCUAACUACGUGCCAGCAGCCGCGGUAAUACGUAGGGGGCAAGCGUUGUCCGGAAUUAUUGGGCGUAAAGCGCGCGCAGGCGGCUCUUUAAGUCUGGUGUUUAAGUGCGGGGCUCAACCCCGUGACGCACUGGAAACUGGGGAGCUUGAGUGCAGAAGAGGAGAGCGGAAUUCCACGUGUAGCGGUGAAAUGCGUAGAGAUGUGGAGGAACACCAGUGGCGAAGGCGGCUCUCUGGACUGUAACUGACGCUGAGGCGCGAAAGCGUGGGGAGCAAACAGGAUUAGAUACCCUGGUAGUCCACGCCGUAAACGAUGAGUGCUAGGUGUUGGGGGUAUCAUGCCCUCGGUGCCGAAGUUAACACA
Molecule: ribosomal RNA, 510 nt
Filed under: uncultured bacterium
Lineage: Bacteria
Description: partial 16S ribosomal RNA
Rfam family: Bacterial small subunit ribosomal RNA
Source: RNAcentral